This 492-nucleotide ribosomal RNA is filed under the name uncultured bacterium. Its description in RNAcentral is "partial 16S ribosomal RNA". It matches the Rfam family "Bacterial small subunit ribosomal RNA", at positions 30 to 507 of the family's 1533-position model. The record is from RNAcentral.
AGUGAACGCUGGCGGUAGGCCUAACACAUGCAAGUCGAACGGCAGCACAGUAAGAGCUUGCUCUUACGGGUGGCGAGUGGCGGACGGGUGAGGAAUACAUCGGAAUCUACUUUUUCGUGGGGGAUAACGUAGGGAAACUUACGCUAAUACCGCAUGCGACCUACGGGUGAAAGCAGGGGAUCUUCGGACCUUGCGCGAUUGAAUGAGCCGAUGUCGGAUUAGCUAGUUGGCGGGGUAAAGGCCCACCAAGGCGACGAUCCGUAGCUGGUCUGAGAGGAUGAGCGGCCGGGCGGGAGGGGGGGCGGGGUCCAGGGGCCGGCGGGAGGCAGCAGUGGGGAAUAGUGGGCAAGGGGGGCAAGCCUGGUGCAGCGAGACCGCGUGGGUGAAGAAGGCCUUCGGGUUGUAAAGCCCUUUUGUUGGGAAAGAAAAGCAGCAGGUUAAUACCCCGCUGUUCUGACGGUACCCAAAGAAUAAGCACCGGCUAACUUCGUG